GACGAACGCUGGCGGCGUGCUUAACACAUGCAAGUCGAGCGGUAAGGCCCUUUCGGGGGUACACGAGCGGCGAACGGGUGAGUAACACGUGGGUGACCUGCCCUCAGCUCUGGGAUAAGCCUGGGAAACCGGGUCUAAUACCGGAUAUGACUCCAUGACGCAUGUUGUGGGGUGAAAGCCUUGUGCGGCCGAGGAUGGGCCCGCGGCCUAUCAGCUUGUUGGUGGGGUGAUGGCCACCAAGGCGACGACGGGUAGCCGGCCUGAGAGGGCGACCGGCCACACUGGGACUGAGACACGGGCCCAGACUCCUACGGGAGGCAGCAGUGGGGAAUCUUGCGCAAUGGGCGAAAGCCUGACGCAGCGACGCCGCGUGAGGGAUGACGGCCUCGGUGUAA
RNAcentral lists this ribosomal RNA (395 nucleotides) under uncultured bacterium. Its description in RNAcentral is "bacterial SSU rRNA". It matches the Rfam family "Bacterial small subunit ribosomal RNA", at positions 28 to 428 of the family's 1533-position model. The record is from RNAcentral.